Molecule: non-coding RNA, 31 nt
Filed under: Homo sapiens (human)
Lineage: Eukaryota; Metazoa; Chordata; Mammalia; Primates; Hominidae
Source: RNAcentral
UACAGCAGAUGGCUGGCCAGAUCCUCGGCAA